Molecule: non-coding RNA, 29 nt
Filed under: Mus musculus (house mouse)
Lineage: Eukaryota; Metazoa; Chordata; Mammalia; Rodentia; Muridae
Source: RNAcentral
UNCAUAAUGCUGAAGCAGCGUUGGGUAGG